Molecule: long non-coding RNA, 1899 nt
Filed under: Carassius auratus (goldfish)
Lineage: Eukaryota; Metazoa; Chordata; Actinopteri; Cypriniformes; Cyprinidae
Description: lncRNA (ENSCARG00000023665.1)
Source: RNAcentral
UCUCCUCAGUCCCCAGACAUUUGCACACUGUUAUAAAAAGAAGAGGGGAUGAACACAGUGGUAAACACAGCCUUGUCCCAACUUUUUUGAGAUGUGUUGAUGCCAUGAAAUUUAAAAUCAACUUGUUUUUUCCUUAAAAUUAUACAUUUUCAGUUUAAACAUUUGAUAUGUCAUCUAUGUUGUAUUCUCAAUAAAAUAUUUAAAUUUGAAACUUCCACAUCAUUGCAUUCUGUUUUUAUUCAGAAUUUGUACAGUGUCCCAACCUUUUUGGAAUCAGGUUUGUAUAAUACUUUCUCGUUUGCCGUCAGCAUUAAUUAAACUUGUGAUUUCAAAUUAUGCUGCGCUUUAUGCAUUCGCCCACUUGUCAUAUUCAUGUCAUUUUCACUGUGUGCUGUAUGUAAAAUGAGGUUUCCCUAGCCUUAUUUUAAUAAUAUUAUUCCCAGUGCACACAAACUUCCCAGAAUACUGAGUAUCCUGUUGAUUACACUUCCUUUUUAUUAUACUUUUAUUAAAUAUUUAUUUAUUUGAUCAAAUAAACAUUUUUUUUUUUCCAAGAUAAAAUCCCGACAUCCUCACCCGCACCCAGUUAUGAACAACACAACAUAAGCAAUGCUGCAGGGAGGAUUUCUGAUAGUAACCAGACAAAAACAUCAAUCUCACUCCCACACACCAUCUUACAACAACACAACACCAGCACCACUGCAGGUAACUGUAUUUAACAUUAUACAGUAUUUCUUCAGAUUUUAUUAUUAUUUACCAGUUAAGUAGUUUUCGGUCUAUAUUAUGUAAAUAAAUAAGCAUUUAUUUUAGAUUAUGCAGUUUAUGGUAAUAAUAAUCAAUUUCAGUUUUCAUUAUAUUUUUGUACACUGCAAAAAUCUGGAACCAUGUUGAGUCACCAUGUGAUGUCCAACUACCUUAAAUCCCAUAUAACUGGACUGUGUCAACAUGUUUAUGAGAUGAAAUUUUCAUUUGAUAAAGUAACCAUUACAAUUUUUACUAAAGAUAAAGUCCCGACAUCCUCACCAGCACCCACCUCACAACAACACAACAUCAGCACUGCUGCAGGGAGUAUUACUGAAGGUUACCAGACAAACACAUCAAUCUCACUCCCACACACCAUCUUACAACAACACAACACCAGCACCACUGCAGGUAAAUGUGUGUGUAUACUAAUUUAUCAGCUUUAAUUUAAAUUAUUCAUUUAAUUUAUUAUUAUUUAAUUGAUUGUUAUUUAAAUGAAUGCAUACAGUUUUUGUCACGCCCCCGGGCUGAUCUGUCUGUUUUUCCCCAUAGUGUGUGUUGUUUACACUUACCAUGUGCUUCUGUGUCACCGUGGUGCCCGUCUCCGCCCUCUUGUUUCAUUAUUAUCUUGUUAUUGGUCACCAUCACCUGCUCUGCAUUAUGAUAAUCACUCCUUCUCUAUUUAGUCUCCUCAUGUGUGCUGUCUGUUGUCAGAUCGUCGAGUUGUUUUCGUCCAUGUCUCAACUUUAUCCACAUCUCUUGUUUAGCCUACACAGAGAUCGUGCCCGUUUUGUUUUCAUCCUCUAGUUUGUUUGUUUUUUCCCACUUCCUCCUGCUUUCAGGCAGCGCUACUCUCCAGCCUUCCGUGUUAGAGCUCACCGAUCGCUGUCACUCCUCUUCUUCGCCGCGCCACAGCGCGCCUCCAGUUCCCCGCCUCAACAGCGCCCCCGCCUCCCUGUCAGUUUGUCCGGGCAUUGCAUCAGAGGAUUUCCUAGUGGAAUUCGUCCAGGAGGCUCUUUUGGAUCUGCUCCAGACUGCCCUGUUCCUGGAUAGUUUUUUGUUAAUUCUCAUUUUUUUUUUUUCUCUGUCCUUUGGAAUUAAGCCAUCUAAUAAACUGACCUUUUGAGCAUCUGCAACUGAGUCCCAGUCUCGCCCCUU